UUUCCAGCAGGUGCGGUUAAACAUAAUAUGUAAAUAAAAUAAUUUGGUUAUUAGUAAUUUAAUAAUUUAUAUAAUUUAAUUUUUUUUAUAAAGUAAAAUUUAAUUAAAAAUUAAAAUUAUAAUUAUUGUAUUCUAUUAAAUUUUAUUUAAAACUAGGAUUAGAUACCCUAUUAUAAAAAUUUAAAAUUUUUACUAAAAAAUUAAUAGUUAAGUUCUUUAAAUUUAAAAAAUUUGGCGGUAUUUUAGUCUUAUUAGAGGAACCUGUUUUUUAAUUGAUAAUCCACGAUUUAUUUUACUUAUUUUUUAAAUUCAUAUAUCGCUGUCAUGAAUAUAUUUAAAAAUUUAUUUUCUUUAAUUAAUUUAAUAAUUUAUGUUAAGUCAAGAUGUGGUUUAUAGAUAAGAAAAUAAUGGGUUACAAUAAAUUUUAUUUUUAGAUUUUUAUAUGAAAAUUUAAAAUAAAAAUGGAUUUAAUAGUAAAUUUAAUAAUUUUAUUAAUAUGAAUAUAGAUCUAAAAUAUGUACAUAUUGCCCGUCAUUCUUAGUAAAAAUAAGACAAGUCGUAACAAAGUAAAUGUACUGGAAAGUGUAUUUAGAAAG
This 596-nucleotide ribosomal RNA is filed under the name Kaburagia rhusicola. RNAcentral's name for it is "partial 12S small subunit ribosomal RNA". Lineage: Eukaryota; Metazoa; Arthropoda; Insecta; Hemiptera; Aphididae. The record is from RNAcentral.